UUACUUGCUAGCUGGUAUGUAAUUUAUAUUUACCAACUAUUUGAUCAAUUGAUGGUUGUUAUUUUUUAUCAAUUCAGAUAAACAAAUGACUAGAUUACGUGUUCGGCUAAACAUAGAAUUAACUCUUUAACAAAUUGCAGUACAUAUGAUUAAAAUAGUUGUUUAGCCGGAUAUAACUUUAUAAGUAUAACUAUUUUUAAUAUUA
This 205-nucleotide long non-coding RNA is filed under the name Brassica rapa (field mustard). Its description in RNAcentral is "long non-coding RNA (BRAP_LNC006961)". Lineage: Eukaryota; Viridiplantae; Streptophyta; Magnoliopsida; Brassicales; Brassicaceae. The record is from RNAcentral.